RNAcentral lists this ribosomal RNA (468 nucleotides) under uncultured bacterium. RNAcentral describes it as "partial 16S ribosomal RNA". It matches the Rfam family "Bacterial small subunit ribosomal RNA", at positions 28 to 507 of the family's 1533-position model. The record is from RNAcentral.
GACGAACGCUGGCGGCGUGCUUAACACAUGCAAGUCGAACGGAAAGGCCCUGCUUUUGUGGGGCGCUCGAGUGGCGAACGGGUGAGUAACACGCGAGUAACCUGCCCUUGACUUUGGGAUAACUUCAGGAAACUGGGGCUAAUACCGGAUAGGAGCUCCUGCUGCAUGGUGGGGGUUGGAAAGUUUCGGCGGUUGGGGAUGGACUCGAGGCUUAUCAGCUUGUUGGUGGGGUAGUGGCUUACCAAGGCUUUGACGGGUAGCCGGCCUGAGAGGGUGACCGGCCACAUUGGGACUGAGGUACGGCCCAGACUCCUACGGGAGGCAGCGGUGGGGAAUAUUGCACAAUGGGCGGAAGCCUGAUGCAGCAGCGCCGCGUGCGGGAUGACGGCCUUCGGGUUGUAAACCGCUUUCGCCUGUGACGAAGCGUGAGUGACGGUAAUGGGUAAAGAAGCACCGGCUAACUACGUG